RNAcentral lists this ribosomal RNA (392 nucleotides) under uncultured bacterium. RNAcentral's name for it is "partial 16S ribosomal RNA". It matches the Rfam family "Bacterial small subunit ribosomal RNA", at positions 523 to 918 of the family's 1533-position model. The record is from RNAcentral.
AUACGGAGGAUCCGAGCGUUAUCCGGAUUUAUUGGGUUUAAAGGGUGCGCAGGCGGCCAUUUAAGUCAGCGGUUAAGUCGUGGGGCUCAACCCCAUUCUGCCGUUGAUACUGGGUGGCUCGAUUGCGGUCGAGGUUGGCGGAAUUCGUUGUGUAGCGGUGAAAUGCAUAGAUAUGACGAAGAACACCGAUUGCGUAGGCAGCUGACCAGAUCGCAAAUGACGCUCAUGCACGAAAGUGCGGGGAUCGAACAGGAUUAGAUACCCUGGUAGUCCGCACAGUAAACGAUGAAUACUUGUUUUCGGCGAUAUAAUGUCGGAGGCAAAGCGAAAGCGAUAAGUAUUCCACCUGGGGAGUACGCCGGCAACGGUGAAACUCAAAGGAAUUGACGGGG